RNAcentral lists this ribosomal RNA (182 nucleotides) under uncultured bacterium. RNAcentral's name for it is "partial 16S ribosomal RNA". It matches the Rfam family "Bacterial small subunit ribosomal RNA", at positions 1319 to 1500 of the family's 1533-position model. The record is from RNAcentral.
CAUGAAGCUGGAAUCGCUAGUAAUCGCGAAUCAGAAUGUCGCGGUGAAUACGUUCCCGGGUCUUGUACACACCGCCCGUCACACCAUGGGAGUCAGCAACGCCCGAAGCCGGUGACCCAACCGAAAGGAGGGAGCCGUCGAAGGUGGGGCCGAUAACUGGGGUGAAGUCGUAACAAGGUAAC